Gasterosteus aculeatus aculeatus (three-spined stickleback) is the source of this 1206-nucleotide long non-coding RNA. Lineage: Eukaryota; Metazoa; Chordata; Actinopteri; Perciformes; Gasterosteidae. The record is from Ensembl.
UAGCUACUCUGGUAGCUAAGCUUAAACAAGCUAAUUCUCUAAUAUUGAGACAUAUUUCAGCUUAUUGCGUGUUGCCUUGCAACCAACGGUCGGAGCUGCGGACCUCCCGCCCUCCAAAGGCUGCUCCAAGCUGCCCCCCUAAGAGGAAACAGCAUGCUUCGUCGAGGGUCUAUCGAGGACCACCUGAAACGCGAAGACGGAAAUCGUCUAACUUAAUUUAAGGUGUCCGGCCUGUGGUACAGAUGUGCGCUCACAUCGAAAGAUUGCAGAGGAGACAUGCAGGGGUAUUGGAUUGAAUUCGGUUAUAAUGGCGAGGCUGCUUGCAGUAGUAAUGCUGUAGUAAUCCCUCCUGCACAUGGUUCCCUCGCUCCGAUAAACACCUCGCUCCCAUUGUUUCCUGGACUUCCUUGGUACUUUCGGGCCCCCGUGGUAUCACUUUGCCCAUGGCCUGUGGAGCUUGACAGGCUUCCUACUGUACAAGCUGGGCGGGACGGCGGGGAGGAGCGCUCUCUCACCACUCUCACCUGGGGCUAAUCACCAAUCUGGCACCAGUUAAAGCCUGCCGUCUCCUGUCGACGCAACACGACACACAUGCCAGCACGUUUGCUCAGCCUGCGCGCUGUACCCUGCCCAGCCUUCCACCGAACCUACCAGCAGCCCAGCCCCGAGCCUCACCUCAUGAGCCCCUGCAUGGGAUCACCUGGACACGAGACCCCCCUGAAUAUAUCCUUCCUUUUUGACUUCAAAACUGUCUGCCUCGGAUUUGCUUUUGGAUCCAGUUCUCAUCACCCCUAACUGUAAUGUACUGCAUGAAGCGGGGGCUAUAAACAUCUUUGUCAAUAUAGUUUUCCUACCGGAACUUACUCUGCUGAAACAUUAGCCUCAACAUUAAAAAACACAAACUUAUUCACAUACAGCGGUUUGUAUUAUAUCUUCUGAAAGAUUUCUCCUAAUAUUGUGUUUUUCAACUACCGUGUACCACAGAAUGUUGAAUCAAGUAAAGCAGUGGUCCCCAACCACCGGGCCGCGUGGGCUGUUUGGUACCGGGCCGCACCACAGAAAGCUUGUAUACAUAUUUUUUUUCUGAAAAAUGUUUGAUUUUGACAAUUGACCGGAUUUUCUCCUAAAUAUGUGCGGUCGUCCCUCUGACAUAUUUCCCACGUGUCACCCCCCCGUCGGUCGUUCCGCCCGCAACGACUACUACCC